GGGGGGGGGGGGGGGGGGGCGGGGGGGGUGGGGGGCGGGCGGGGGGGCGGUGAGAGGGUGCGCUGACGGGUGGCGAGUGGCGGACGGGUGAGGAAGACAUCGGAAUCUACUUUUUCGGGGGGGAUAACGGAGGGACACUUACGCUAAUACCGCAUACGACCUACGGGUGAAAGCAGUGGAUCUUCGGACCUUGCGCGAUUGAAUGAGCCGAUGUCGGAUUAGCUAGUUGGCGGGGUAAAGGCCCACCAAGGCGACGAUCCGUAGCUGGUCUGAGAGGAUGAUCAGCCACACUGGAACUGAGACACGGUCCAGACUCCUACGGGAGGCAGCAGUGGGGAAUAUUGGACAAUGGGCGCAAGCCUGAUCCAGCCAUACCGCGUGGGUGAAGAAGGCCUUCGGGUUGUAAAGCCCUUUUGUUGGGAAAGAAAAGCAGCAGGUUAAUACCCCGCUGUUCUGACGGUACCCAAAGAAUAAGCACCGGCUAACUUCGUG
Molecule: ribosomal RNA, 492 nt
Filed under: uncultured bacterium
Lineage: Bacteria
Description: partial 16S ribosomal RNA
Rfam family: Bacterial small subunit ribosomal RNA
Source: RNAcentral